This is a long non-coding RNA of Rhodamnia argentea, 1364 nucleotides long. RefSeq lists it as uncharacterized. NCBI's taxonomy places the organism in Eukaryota, Viridiplantae, Streptophyta, Magnoliopsida, Myrtales, Myrtaceae. The transcript has 3 exons. The record is from RefSeq and is a predicted model, not a curated record.
GACAAAGUCUCUAGUGGUUGGUGUGGACAUUAUGAUUGAAGUAUAUCUUAGUGAAACAAGACAACAAUAUUUCGAAGAAAAAUCUGAAUUAUAUAAGUAUUUGGAAGAAGAUUAUGAACGUUAUAGUCCCGACUUUGAUAUCUUAACUUGGUGGAAAGUCAAUUCUUUGAGAUAUCCUAUUCUCUCUUCCAUUGCUCGGGAUAUUUUGGUCUGCCCGUCUCAACCGUAGCACCAUAUUCUGCAUUUAGCACGGGAGAUCGUGCACUUGACGUGUUUCGUAGCUCCUUGACCUUGAGCAUAGUGGAGGCUCUCAUAUGUACUCAAGAUUGGUUACGAUACACACCACUUUCGGUUUCAAUCGAGGAGGACUUAGCAGAACUCGAAAAUUUUUGAGUCGGAUUUGUCAACUACAACCAUGGAGCUUAACUCAAUAUUGAUUUCUCUUGAUGAUUAACAAACUUGGAGGUUGGUGCUUCAUAUCCAUUUGUGACUUGAAUGCCUUUCAAGCGGCAUAUCUAUGGUGUUGAUGUGGAAGUCUCACUUUACUGGAUUAUUAGCAUCCAAAGUACGCAGGAUGAGUGUCUGGUCUGUGAUUCUGUGAAAAAAAAUAUUCUUGGGACAUAAUGUAACUGUAGACUUAAAUGUCCUGAUCAGUCUAACAGUAGAUUGCCAAAUUUUUUUCUCUUUCUGUUGGUCAAGAGAAGUACAUUGCUACCUGCCAUGACAUUAUUACCAGAACUUGGGGUUGGAAUUAUGUGGUUACUGCUCCAACUUUUGUUGGCUGAAAUCUACUUGGGUUUCUUUGCAUUUAGUAUUUUGGUUAUUGUAAUGUCUGGCUAAUUAUGACAUCUGAUGGGUUGGUAGGUCUACAAAGCCAGUGAGUAUAAGCGUGUUCUUGCAAUAUGUGGACCUGGGAACAAUGGUGGUGAUGGCCUGGUAGCUGCUCGUCAUUUGUUUCAUUUUCGAUAUAAAGCCAUACAUUUGUUAUCCUAAGUGUACUCCGAAGCCUUUUUAUACUGGUUUUGCUGCUGCUUCUGUUUAUUAUCCGGGUUAAGGGGUUGCUGUUCCGGUGCUUGGAGACGCUUGAAGCAUUUUCUUACUGAGAUUGACGAACUUGGAGAUCGGUACUUGUUAAACCAUUUUCUUGUUGAUGUUUUGAGAGAAGAAGUGGUUCUGUGGAGGAGCUGUCUUUAGGACGCUAAUGAAGAGACGUACAUUAGAAGGAUUGUCUCAAUGUGUUACUGCAUUAUCAGUUCAGAAAGCUGUCGAUUUAGGCUUUUCCUUGCAUUGCUAGAUGUUCAUGUCGGGAAGUUUCAGUCAUAUCAGAACUGGAAAGGACUAAGGAUGUUACUUCCCAUUUGUUA